This 511-nucleotide ribosomal RNA is filed under the name uncultured bacterium. Its description in RNAcentral is "partial 16S ribosomal RNA". It matches the Rfam family "Bacterial small subunit ribosomal RNA", at positions 28 to 523 of the family's 1533-position model. The record is from RNAcentral.
GACGAACGCUGGCGGCGUGCUUAACACAUGCAAGUCGAACGGAGAUUCAGCAAUGGAUCUUAGUGGCGAACGGUGAGUAACGCGUAGGCAAUCUGCCUUCUAGAUGGGGACAACAUCCCGAAAGGGGUGCUAAUACCGAAUGUUGUACCGUUUCCGCAUGGAGAUGAUACUAGAGGUGGCCUCUGAAUAUGCUACCGCUAGAAGAUGAGCCUGCGUCUGAUUAGCUAGUUGGAGGGGUAACGGCCCACCAAGGCUUCGAUCAGUAGCCGGUCUGAGAGGAUGAACGGCCACACGGGGACGGAGACACGGCCCAGACUCCUACGGGAGGCAGCAGUGGGGAAUCUUCCGCAAUGGACGAAAGUCUGACGGAGCAACGCCGCGUGAGUGAAGAAGGUUUUCGGAUCGUAAAGCUCUUUCGUUAGGGACGAACGUGCUCUUUGUGAAUAAUGAGGAGUAAUGACGGUACCUAAAUAAGAAGCCACGGCUAACUACGUGCCAGCCGCCGCCGUAA